Molecule: microRNA precursor, 107 nt
Filed under: Haemonchus contortus (barber pole worm)
Lineage: Eukaryota; Metazoa; Nematoda; Chromadorea; Rhabditida; Trichostrongylidae
Description: microRNA hco-mir-5899 precursor
Source: miRBase by way of RNAcentral
CGUCUGUGUGAUUCAUACAGCACAGGCUAUGCAUUCCGUGUGCAUUUUCUAUGACUGUACCCGUAAUGUACAUAGCUUGAGCUGUGUGACUUCUCCUAUUCAUUCUU